CCUACGGGAGGCUGCAGUGGGGAAUAUUGCACAAUGGGGGAAACCCUGAUGCAGCGACGCCGCGUGAGCGAUGAAGUAUUUCGGUAUGUAAAGCUCUAUCAGCAGGGAAGAAAAUGACGGUACCUGAAUCAGAAGCCCCGGCUACAUACGUGCCAGCAGCCGCGGUAAUACGUAGGGGGCAAGCGUUAGCCGGAUUUACUGGGUGUAAAGGGAGCGUAGACGGCGGUGCAAGUCAGAUGUGAAAGCCCGGGGCUCAACCCCGGGACUGCAUUUGGAACUGUGCUGCUAGAGUGUCGGAGAGGCAGGCGGAAUUCCUGGUGUAGCGGUGAAAUGCGUAGAUAUUAGGAGGAACACCAGUGGCGAAGGCGGCCUGCUGGACGAUGACUGACGUUGAGGCUCGAAAGCGUGGGGAGCAAACAGGAUUAGAUACCCCUGUAGUC
Molecule: ribosomal RNA, 440 nt
Filed under: uncultured bacterium
Lineage: Bacteria
Description: partial 16S ribosomal RNA
Rfam family: Bacterial small subunit ribosomal RNA
Source: RNAcentral